Molecule: small nuclear RNA, 103 nt
Organism: Gorilla gorilla gorilla (western lowland gorilla)
Lineage: Eukaryota; Metazoa; Chordata; Mammalia; Primates; Hominidae
Source: Ensembl
UUGCUUUGGCAGCAUACAUACUAAAACUGGAAAGAUACAGAGAAAAUUAGCUUGGCUCCUGCGCAAGGACGACACGCAAAUUCAUGAAGCAUUCCACAUUAAA